GACUUGCAUAUUUUUCGCCUCCAAAAACACACAACUGUUGGGCUGCUGGCGUGAAAGCAGAAGGGAAAGUGUGUCAGUUAUUUAAUUUAUUUAUUUCUCGCUUUAUUGGCGUUUGAUCAUGCGCCCUUGUUGCAUUCAGCAAAACUUAUUAUUCAGGAUCAAGCACAGAUUUCUAUAUUUACUCUGAAUGGGCAUAAUAACCCUUGUUCCUAAAAGCUUGCCCUAAUGAGGAUGGAAAAACAAAAACUAGAAAAAAAAAUCCCAAUUGGCCUCAUUGUCAACACGUUGUCCUCCAAUUAUCUAAGGAAAUAUUCCUCAGGGCUGCGUGCGUCAUUGAAAAUCAAAAUACAUCAGUGGGUUUUGUGGGUGGCUAAAAGGCUCUGUGUAUCUCUCUCUCUCUCCUCUUAGAUGAGGUCACAUGGGUUCAUUGUUUUUGCCUGCAGUCACACUCUUGUACCACACUUCUCGACUUCAAAUAUGGUAUGUUUCCUUUCCCCCCCUUUUUUUUAUUUCACUCUUUUUUUAUUAGGAUGUUCUGACAGCGUUCCUUGACUGUCAGUGCUCAAAUCUUGUUGUGCGAACCGCCCCCCUCCCAAUCCUUGCAACCAAAAAACAUCUCGUCACGACAGGAGAUGUCAGAACCUAUUGCCAUGGAAACAGUGCUCCAAAGUUUGGAGCGUCGACCCCCAUUUUGACUAUAUCCAAUCAGAUUUUAGGAAAAAGCUUUCGGUGGUGCAUUACUUUAAUCGGAAGUCUGGUGUGGGCACAUCUGUGUGGACCAGAUAUUACGUCUGAGUGACGCUUGCGUGUAUCUUUUCUUGUGCAUAUGUGUGUGUGCGUGUGUGUGUGUGCGUGUGUGUGCGUGUGAUGUUUGCAAGCCAAGAAGUGACUCAUCAUAUCACACAGGGGGUCUGGGAUUUAGCUCUGUGGUCUUGUAUCCACUUCAUCUUUUCCUCUCGUGCUGGUGCUGUGCAACACCUGAAGUCUUUUUCCGGAAAGCGACGAGUCACACCUCGCACUCCAGCUGCUCUCCCCCUGAGGAUGGAGAGCUGGGGUGCAGCCCGGGCCCGCUUUCUUUGAUGCUCGACACUCCGGCUUCAAAGUCCUUAGCAUCAAAGCCGAGGACUUGGGAUCAGGCCCAGGAGCAGCCCAGCAUCCUUACGUUCGCGCACACACACAGGCAGAGACGACUUCACUUCAGUGAUUCAGGGGCAUCUGGGGACGACCUGAUUGUCUGCUGAAUCCACGCAGACGCAUAAAGGGCUCGGUGGUGUACGAUGAACCCACCGGUAACUG
Molecule: long non-coding RNA, 1296 nt
Filed under: Oreochromis niloticus (Nile tilapia)
Lineage: Eukaryota; Metazoa; Chordata; Actinopteri; Cichliformes; Cichlidae
Description: lncRNA (ENSONIG00000028177.1)
Source: RNAcentral